Long non-coding RNA from Anthonomus grandis grandis, 403 nucleotides. RefSeq lists it as uncharacterized. The record is from RefSeq and is a predicted model, not a curated record. Lineage: Eukaryota; Metazoa; Arthropoda; Insecta; Coleoptera; Curculionidae. The transcript has 2 exons.
GCUAUACGUUUGGGUCAAAAGAGGCAGCAGCAGAUCGACCAAUUAGGAUGCUUCUAGAAUGUCUAGCAGGUAGUGGAAGGCAAUCGGUAUUAGGUGUAGCCGAUUGGGAGGAAUGCAGGUUCCGGAGGUGAUGAUCCAAGCGACUUGAUGUGGUAACACGUGGAGUAGCAAGUGAGGUGGAAGCAGUAACAAUAAAAAUGCAGCAAAAGCAGAAGCAGAGGAUAAGCAGAAAGGUACAGGAAGGCCUAAAAAUGGGGACCACACAUGAGGUUCGACAUGGCUGUCAAUUUUAUGGCAUUUUUGUGUGGAUCGGGUAUGUUAGGAGGGACCAUCUUAACGGUAUCAUAUCUGUGUAGUAUGUAUAUUUAUGUAUGAUUUUUAAAUAAAUUAUUUUAUGAAACUA